Molecule: long non-coding RNA, 349 nt
Organism: Labeo rohita (rohu)
Lineage: Eukaryota; Metazoa; Chordata; Actinopteri; Cypriniformes; Cyprinidae
Exons: 3
Source: RefSeq, a predicted model, not a curated record
UAAAACCUUACUGUGCAAAAACUUUUGACUGGUAGUGUAUAUAUGUAAUUUUAUGUGUGUGUGUGUCUGUGUGUGUGUGUCUGUGUGUGUGGGAAAGAAAGAAAUCAAGUUUGGAACAACAUGAGUGUAAUAAUGUGUUUAAUUUAUAUCCUAAGUUAAAAUGUUAACUUUUUUGUUUUUACAUAGUCACUAGGCCUCGGUUUACAUCACAACUGUGAACCAUGCAGUAUUACUUGCAAGAAAAGAUUUGAUUAAAUAAACCCUGCAGACUUCACUGACUCAUUCUUCCUCUGAAGUGCUCGCUUUGAACAGAUUGCAAUGAAAUACAAGAGCUAGAAGUGAAUCAAAA